Molecule: ribosomal RNA, 308 nt
Filed under: uncultured bacterium
Lineage: Bacteria
Description: partial 16S ribosomal RNA
Rfam family: Bacterial small subunit ribosomal RNA
Source: RNAcentral
GAGACAGCAGUAGCCGCGGGAAUACGAAGGGUGCAAGCGUUACUCGGAAUUACUGGGCGUAAAGCGUGCGUAGGUGGUGGUUUAAGUCCGUUGUGAAAGCCCUGGGCUCAACCUGGGAAUUGCAGUGGAUACUGGGUCACUAGAGUGUGGUAGAGGAUAGUGGAAUUUCCGGUGUAGCAGUGAAAUGCGUAGAGAUCGGAAGGAACAUCUGUGGCGAAGGCGACUAUCUGGGCCAACACUGACACUGAGGCACGAAAGCGUGGGGAGCAAACAGGAUUAGAUACCCCGGUAGUCCCUGUCUCUUAUAC